Molecule: ribosomal RNA, 497 nt
Filed under: uncultured bacterium
Lineage: Bacteria
Description: partial 16S ribosomal RNA
Rfam family: Bacterial small subunit ribosomal RNA
Source: RNAcentral
GAUGAACGCUGGCGGCGUGCCUAAUACAUGCAAGUCGAGCGAACAGACGAGGAGCUUGCUCCUCUGACGUUAGCGGCGGACGGGUGAGUAACACGUGUAUAACCUACCUAUAAGACUGGGAUAACUUCGGGAAACCGGAGCUAAUACCGGAUAAUAUAUUGAACCGCAUGGGUCAAUAGUGAAAGACGGCUUUGCUGUCACUUAUAGAUGGAUCCGCGCCGCAUUAGCUAGUUGGUAAGGUAACGGCUUAGCAAGGCGACGAUGCGUAGCCGACCUGAGAGGGUGAUCGGCCACCCUGCAACUGAGACACGCUCCAUACUCCUACGGUAGGCAGCAGUAGGGAAUCUUCCGCAACGGGCGAAAGCCUGACGGAGCAACGCCGCGUGAGUGAUGAAGGUCUUCGGAUCGUAGAACUCUGUUAUGAGGGAAGAACAAAUGUGUAAGUAACUAUGCACGUCUUGACGGUACCUGGUCAGAAAGCCACGGCUAACUACGUG